AGUGGCCUAGGUUAUGUGAUAGUACUGUUUGUUUUCAAAACAAAAGGAGAUUUUAGGGUCGGCUGCUG
Molecule: transfer RNA, 68 nt
Filed under: Hypoderaeum sp. Hubei-2014
Lineage: Eukaryota; Metazoa; Platyhelminthes; Trematoda; Plagiorchiida; Echinostomatidae
Description: tRNA-Trp
Source: RNAcentral